Molecule: ribosomal RNA, 448 nt
Filed under: uncultured bacterium
Lineage: Bacteria
Description: SSU rRNA
Rfam family: Bacterial small subunit ribosomal RNA
Source: RNAcentral
AGAGCGAACGCUGGCGGCAGGCUUAACACAUGCAAGUCGAACGGAGUAGCAAUACUUAGUGGCGGACGGGUGAGUAACGCGUGAGAAUCUACCUUCAGGACGGAGACAACAGUUGGAAACGACUGCUAACCCCCGAUGUACCGAAAGGGCAAAUAUUUAUAGCCUGAAGAAGAGCUCGCGUCCGAUUAGCUAGUUGGAGAGGUAAAAGCUCACCAAGGCGACGAUCGGUAGCUGGUCUGAGAGGACGAUCAGCCACACUGGGACUGAGACACGGCCCAGACUCCUACGGGAGGCAGCAGUGGGGAAUAUUGCACAAUGGGCGAAAGCCUGAUGCAGCGACGCCGCGUGAGGGAUGACGGCCUUCGGGUUGUAAACCUCUUUCAGCAGGACGAAGCGAAGUGACGGUACCUGCAGAAGAAGCACCGGCCAACUACGCGCCAGCAGCCGC